AACUUUCAACAACGGAUCUCUUGGUUCUGGCAUCGAUGAAGAACGCAGCGAAAUGCGAUAAGUAAUGUGAAUUGCAGAAUUCCGUGAAUCAUCGAAUCUUUGAACGCACAUUGCGCCCUUUGGUAUUCCGAAGGGCAUGCCUGUUCGAGCGUCA
RNAcentral lists this ribosomal RNA (154 nucleotides) under fungal sp. mh3955.5. RNAcentral's name for it is "5.8S ribosomal RNA". It matches the Rfam family "5.8S ribosomal RNA". Rfam says of the family: 5.8S ribosomal RNA (5.8S rRNA) is a component of the large subunit of the eukaryotic ribosome. It is transcribed by RNA polymerase I as part of the 45S precursor that also contains 18S and 28S rRNA. Functionally, it is thought that 5.8S rRNA may be involved in ribosome translocation. Lineage: Eukaryota; Fungi. The record is from RNAcentral.